CAUGAAGCCGGAAUUGCUAGUAAUGGCAGGUCAGCAUACUGCCGUGAAUACGUUCCCGGGCCUUGUACACACCGCCCGUCACACCAUGAGAGUUGGGAAUACCCGAAGCCUGUGAGCUAACUAUAUGAGGCAGCAGUCGAAGGUAGAAUCAAUGAUUGGGGUGAAGUCGUAACAAGGUAAC
This 181-nucleotide ribosomal RNA is filed under the name uncultured bacterium. Its description in RNAcentral is "partial 16S ribosomal RNA". It matches the Rfam family "Bacterial small subunit ribosomal RNA", at positions 1319 to 1500 of the family's 1533-position model. The record is from RNAcentral.